This 356-nucleotide unclassified non-coding RNA is filed under the name soil metagenome. RNAcentral describes it as "partial contains 5.8S ribosomal RNA, internal transcribed spacer 2, and large subunit ribosomal RNA". The stretch from base 1 to 120 matches the Rfam family "5.8S ribosomal RNA", at positions 35 to 154 of the family's 154-position model. The record is from RNAcentral.
GAUGAAGAACGCAGUGAAAUGCGAUAAGUAAUGUGAAUUGCAGAAUUCAGUGAAUCAUCGAAUCUUUGAACGCACAUUGCGCCCGCCAGUAUUCUGGCGGGCAUGCCUGUCCGAGCGUCAUUUCAACCCUCGAACCCCUCCGGGGGGUCGGCGUUGGGGAUCGGGAACCCCUAAGACGGGAUCCCGGCCCCGAAAUACAGUGGCGGUCUCGCCGCAGCCUCUCCUGCGCAGUAGUUUGCACAACUCGCACCGGGAGCGCGGCGCGUCCACGUCCGUAAAACACCCAACUUCUGAAAUGUUGACCUCGGAUCAGGUAGGAAUACCCGCUGAACUUAAGCAUAUCAAUAAGCGGAGGA